Molecule: long non-coding RNA, 1743 nt
Organism: Vulpes vulpes (red fox)
Lineage: Eukaryota; Metazoa; Chordata; Mammalia; Carnivora; Canidae
Source: Ensembl
AUGGCUACCACCACCAUCACCACCAUCAUCACUAUCAUCAUCACUACCACCAUCAUCACCACAACCACCACCACCACCACCAUCACUAUCAUCAUCAUCAUCACCACCACCAUCAUCACCAUCAUUAUCACUACCACCAUCAUCACCAUAACCAUUACCAUCAUCAUCAUCAUUACCAUUAUGACUAUCAUCAUUAUCACCAUCAUCACCAUCAUUAUUACCAUCAUCAUCAUCACCAGCAUCAUCUGCAAUAGCAUCAUCUUUUCUUCUCCAAAGCUGAGAGUAGAGUUCAGGAUCACAGAGUAUGGCCAGAGCUCAGGCCAACUGGACAAAGCCUCUCUCGAUGACAGGGAGAGGUCAGCUUCUUGGCUGAAGCCACGGAACCCUGUAGCUGCAAAGGCCUUGGGCAUCAGCACUUGGAUGUCAAGUAUUUCUGGGCAGAAACAUGCCUUCCCGGGCCCGAAGAAGGCAUGAAGUGUCUGCCACACAAGGGUCAGUGCAGAGCCUGCUCUGGAGGGAGAUGCUCUGUGGGAAUAGGGCCUACAGGACCCAACAGGCAGCCACGUGAGCAAAGAUGAACUCUGGCCCUUGACCUGGGCCCGGCGACACAAUUAAUCAUCUCUGCUUUGUGAGCCGUGAGAACCAGGGAAGAAACUCACAGAGUGGCCCUGCUGGAGAAAUAGCCGAGGGGUGGGAGCCUUACCGUGGGAGGUGGGCAGAAGGAGGAGAAGAUGCAAGUGUGGUGCCCCAGGGGGUGGGGACGAGGAGAGCGGUGUGACUGGAGAGAGCUGAGGGAGGGAGAGGGCACAGGUGACACCUGAGAUGUCCUCUGAGGCGGGCCAAGGAUGGCCUUGAGGCCACGGUAAGGAAUUUGCCCUAGUCCCAGGUGAACCCCAGAAUGGGUGGUUUGAUGUUUCAGGACGACUCUGGCUCUAAGCAGAGAGCAUAGCGUGCAGGGUGGUAGGAACCUCAAUCACGCAGACAGGGACACCGGCCAGGAGGAGGCUUCCUCUUCCUCCAGGACAGAGAGGCACCGGCCCAGGGGAAAGAGACAGGGCGAAGAUAUUUAGCCACUCCUCUCAUCGGUCCUGGGUUCUGGAUUUGCGAAUUCACCUGCUUGCCACAAUUUAUUUGUAAGGCCCAAAACUAAUGUGCUGCGCUUUCCUGAUCAUUCAUGGACAUGUGCAGAUGGCGACACUGCCGAGUCGCCCUCGUGCCUACUUGCAGGUGAGUGCAAACGGGGCGACGAUCCGCCUUCUGGGUUCAGCUCGUACUAUAAACAAGGGUCUUCGGGCGGCCUAAGCAGUGCCGCAUUUUUUCACCUUUGUGCUUUUUGUUGGUGAUCUUGUUCUUUAAAAUCAUCCCCAGUUGCAUCUCCAGAUGCCAUCUGAAGUGCCGUCUACUGUUCCUGAGCACGAGGAGGCUGUGAUGUGUCUCAAGGAGAAAACACUUGUGUUAGAAAAGCUUCAUUCAGGCGUAGUGCUGUUGACCAGGAGUUCAUUGCUAAUGCAUCAACAUGUAUUAGAUAAGAUGUCUUUAAAGAGAAACACACACGGGGCACCUGGGUGGCUCAGUCGGUGAAGCAUCCAACUCUCGGUUUUAGCUCAGGUCAUGACCUCGAAGUCGUGAGAUCGAGCCCCGCAUCGGGCUCCACACUCAGCAGGAAGUUGGCUUGAGAUUCUCUCUUCCUCUCCCUCUUCCCCUUGUUCCCCCCCAAUAAAUGAAUAAAUCUUUAAGGAAACA